GAGGAUGCUGGGGAGGUGCGCUGUCUUCACAGUGCAGUUGUUACGCAACCCUGACGCAACCCUGAGGGGAAUUUAACGAUUCCCUUGUAGGGCAAUCCUCUAUUAGGGGAAUUGUCAGAUUCUCGAAAACUGUUUUGAUUUACUAUGUUUCGUACAGUCUAAAAUAACGAAAAUAGGUCAAAAUCUCCCCCAUUUUUUAAUUUCAAUUUCAAAAAUAAAUUUUUCUCUAGGUAA
This 234-nucleotide non-coding RNA is filed under the name Mischocyttarus mexicanus. The record is from RNAcentral. Lineage: Eukaryota; Metazoa; Arthropoda; Insecta; Hymenoptera; Vespidae.